UAAAACAAUCAUAUGUGCCGCAGAUGUGCGCCACUGCAGUAUAUGAAUUUGAUGGGCAGGUACGAUUUCGAAAUCCACGUGACAUCGUAUUAUACGAGCUGUUUAAGUUGAACGACAAUGACGGAUGGACUAUAUAUUAAACAUAUAUAAUAAUAAUGAUAAUAAUAUGCCUUCGAUAUAGUAAUAAUAUCGUCGGUAUAACGGAGCACAGUCAUGGCAUCAACGCGGUGGGAGGGUCGAAAAAUAUAAAUUUUGAUCGACGACGUGCGUCGGACAAUCGCGAUGAACGGGGUUUCCGCGAUAAGAAAUCGCCGGGGAAAAGAUUAAAUUUCAAU
Molecule: non-coding RNA, 335 nt
Organism: Cinara cedri
Lineage: Eukaryota; Metazoa; Arthropoda; Insecta; Hemiptera; Aphididae
Source: the annotation of a GenBank genome assembly